This is a long non-coding RNA of Sorex fumeus (smoky shrew), 1721 nucleotides long. RefSeq lists it as uncharacterized. The transcript has 3 exons. The record is from RefSeq and is a predicted model, not a curated record. Lineage: Eukaryota; Metazoa; Chordata; Mammalia; Eulipotyphla; Soricidae.
CCGGGCGAGGGAGCUGCUGCCUCUGAAGGCCUCAAGACCAGGACAGUUCCUGGGACACAUGUCGAGGGUCCCCGAGGGCCUCCACUUGCUGCUGGGGGCCCUGCCCGGGCCAGCCUCUACCCCAGCCAGCGGCGAGCGACAUCAGCUCUGACACCUGAGCCUGCCACAAGGGAGAACCCCCAACCGGGACAGCGUGAACGAGAGCCCAGGAGCGAGACGCGGCCCCGCAGGCCCGGGAAUGAUGUUUCCUUUUGGGAUCACACCUGGGGAUCUCUCCUGGUGGUGCCCGGGGGACCCUACGGCGUACUGGGGAUCGAACCCAGGUCAGCUGCAUGCGAGGUGAUGAUGCUCAGAGGGUGCAGUGGGUGCUCCACACCGGUGCCACCCCCCGCCGCCCACCUCUCCCGACCAUGACACCCAUGGGGGCUUUUUCCGCUCCUUUCCCUGACAGUGCGGUUGGUUGGGCCACGCUGAGGGACACCACGGCCCACGCGUACCCUUCCCAGAACGAGAGGUCACAUGUCCCCUCUGACACAGGACCACGCUCCCCAAAACCGUGAAUCAAAGCAGAAGCUUCUAGAACAGACAGCAAGAAGCCACACGACCUCAGACUCAGCUUUGAGGGUCCAGCGUGCUCAGGGGCGACACCAUUUAAUCCGUCCAGCAACCCUGGCAAGAGUCACUCACCAACCCCUUCGUCCCUCCUCGAGAAAACUGCCUCACACCUGCCAAGGAUCAGGCUGAGGGGCCGGAGCCGGUCUGGACUGCCCCACCCCCAGCACUCAGAAUAGACGCCGGAGCAAGGGCAGUUCCAUCGAGGGAUGAAACAGCCUCCAAGCAACAGCUCUGACGCUCCAAGAAACAGGCCCAGAUGCUGUGUCCACCUGCUCUCACCCACCCCCAAGGGCCUGCACUGCCCACUCAGCUGCCUCCACCCGGCUCCUUCCAAGAAAUCCUGAUUCCUCCUUAUGACAAGAAGAUGAGAGGUCAGAGAGAGAGAGAGAGAGAGAGAGUAGAGGAAGGGCGAAUGUCUUGCUGCUGCCACGCCGGGUUCAAUCCCUGCACUCCAUAGGGUCCCCCGAGCCUUGCCAAGAAUGGUCCCUGAGCACAGAGUCAGGAGCAGGCGCUGAGCAUCCCCAGGAGUGGUCCCAAAAUCUCGAGAAAGAGAGAGAGAGAGAGAGAGAGAGAGAGAGAAAGGAAAAACCCAGGGCCGUUCAGUGGGCUGCAGGCUUCACAUGCAGGAGGCCCAGAUAGACCCCAGCACCCCAAGGCCCCCUGACACCUCCAGGUGUGGCCCCAAGCGGCCACAGGCAGUGACAGUAACUGCAGCCCCCAGGGCUGAGCUCGGCUCUGCGGCAGUCACGGAGCUGCCCCCAGCCCCACUCCCGAGAAAGCCGCCAGGGUCCACGUGGGGGCUCUGCAACCCCCCACCCCACGGUCACACAGAACACUCCUCGGGAGCGGCUCCCCAGACAGCGCCUCCCAGACCCACAUCAUUCUCGCCCGGCACAAGGACCCGGAAGGCCAGUGCUCAGUGGAACCAUGACUCGGAACCAGGCAGACGGUAUUUCCUGAGAGAGCGGUGAUACGCAGCCAGCAGCCCAGUCCCUAAGGGACAGUCCCUUUUAAGGGAGUGCCCGGAGAGCCCAACGGGGUGACUGGACGGACAGAAAAAGGUGCAUUCCACUGCCGUGUAAAAAUAACUUUCAAUAAAAAUCCGA